AGAGUUUGAUCCUGGCUCAGGAUGAACGCUGACAGAAUGCUUAACACAUGCAAGUCGACUCGAGUCUUCGGACUUGGGUGGCGCACGGGUGAGUAACGCGUAAAGAACUUGCCUCUUAGACUGGGACAACAUCUGGAAACGGAUGCUAAUACCGGAUAUUAUGGUUUUUUCGCAUGGAGGAAUCAUGAAAGCUAGAUGCGCUAAGAGAGAGCUUUGCGUCCCAUUAGCUAGUUGGUGAGGUAACGGCCCACCAAGGCAAUGAUGGGUAGCCGGCCUGAGAGGGUGAACGGCCACAAGGGGACUGAGACACGGCCCUUACUCCUACGGGAGGCAGCAGUGGGGAAUAUUGGACAAUGGACCGCAAGUCUGAUCCAGCAAUUCUGUGUGCACGAUGACGUUUUUCGGAAUGUAAAGUGCUUUCAGUCGGGAAGAAGUCAGUGACGGUACCGACAGAAGAAGCGACGGCUAAAUACGUGCCAGCAGCCGCGGUAAUACGUAUGUCGCAAGCGUUAUCCGGAUUUAUUGGGCGUAAAGCGCGUCUAGGCGGCAAGGAAAGUCUGAUGUGAAAAUGCGGAGCUCAACUCCGUAUGGCGUUGGAAACUGCCUUACUAGAGUACUGGAGAGGUAGGCGGAACUACAAGUGUAGAGGUGAAAUUCGUAGAUAUUUGUAGGAAUGCCGAUGGGGAAGCCAGCCUACUGGACAGAUACUGACGCUAAAGCGCGAAAGCGUGGGUAGCAAACAGGAUUAGAUACCCUGGUAGUCCACGCUGUAAACGAUGAUUACUAGGUGUUGGGGGUCAAACCUCAGCGCCCAAGCUAACGCGAUAAGUAAUCCGCCUGGGGAGUACGUACGCAAGUAUGAAACUCAAAGGAAUUGACGGA
Molecule: ribosomal RNA, 882 nt
Filed under: uncultured bacterium
Lineage: Bacteria
Description: bacterial SSU rRNA
Rfam family: Bacterial small subunit ribosomal RNA
Source: RNAcentral